GAAUAUAUCGUUUUUUAAUCGCGCAUUUGACUGGCAGUCAAAAGGUCACGGGUUCGAAUCCCGUAUUCUCCA
Molecule: transfer RNA, 72 nt
Filed under: Chryseobacterium jejuense
Lineage: Bacteria; Pseudomonadati; Bacteroidota; Flavobacteriia; Flavobacteriales; Weeksellaceae
Description: tRNA-Ala
Rfam family: tRNA
About the family: Transfer RNA (tRNA) molecules are approximately 80 nucleotides in length. Their secondary structure includes four short double-helical elements and three loops (D, anti-codon, and T loops). Further hydrogen bonds mediate the characteristic L-shaped molecular structure. tRNAs have two regions of fundamental functional importance: the anti-codon, which is responsible for specific mRNA codon recognition, and the 3' end, to which the tRNAs corresponding amino acid is attached (by aminoacyl-tRNA synthetases). tRNAs cope with the degeneracy of the genetic code in two manners: having more than one tRNA (with a specific anti-codon) for a particular amino acid; and 'wobble' base-pairing, i.e. permitting non-standard base-pairing at the 3rd anti-codon position.
Source: RNAcentral